GGGAUGUUGGCUUAGUGGUACAGCACUUGCCUCCCAUGCAUGUGGCCUUAGGUUUGAUUCCUCAGCACCACA
Molecule: transfer RNA, 72 nt
Filed under: Dipodomys ordii (Ord's kangaroo rat)
Lineage: Eukaryota; Metazoa; Chordata; Mammalia; Rodentia; Heteromyidae
Rfam family: tRNA
About the family: Transfer RNA (tRNA) molecules are approximately 80 nucleotides in length. Their secondary structure includes four short double-helical elements and three loops (D, anti-codon, and T loops).
Source: Rfam by way of RNAcentral